Brassica napus (rape) is the source of this 1461-nucleotide long non-coding RNA. RefSeq lists it as uncharacterized. The transcript has 2 exons. NCBI's taxonomy places the organism in Eukaryota, Viridiplantae, Streptophyta, Magnoliopsida, Brassicales, Brassicaceae. The record is from RefSeq and is a predicted model, not a curated record.
CUUUAUAAUUUUAAAAAUUAACAUAUGAAAGUGUAGUAUUACAACAUUAAAUUAGAUUUAUUUAAUUUAUACUAUCUAUAAAUUUAAUGGAUCAUCUAUUUUUUAAUUUCAAUUAUUGAUAGCCCAAUAAAAAUAUCUGGUAUGUCCAAAAUUGAAAUGAUAAGAUUAGAGACUAAUUGUAACAUGACUUUCUAGGAAUAUGUUGAUUAGAUUCAUUUUUAAAAAAAUCACACAUGAAUUAAUGUCGUGACUUCUAUUUUAAUAUAUAAUAUUGUUGAAGAUCUUAUAGUAAUAACUUUAGUCAAAUUUCACAAUACAGUAGUCAAGGUUCAUAGUACCUUAGUCAAAAAUUUCUUUUCUUUUUUGAUCAAAAGUCAAAGAUUUCUAACUAAAUAAAAGGAUCGUUGUGGAAGCACCGUAGCCUAGUGGUUAUGGUUUAAAGGCUUCUACACCCAGGUCUGGGGUUCAAAUCCCAGACUAUGCAAUUUCUUGCAGAUUGCACAGGAAAUCCAUGUUUCAAUUCCCGGAGCGAGCGAUUUAUUCAACAAUUAUGCGAUUACGGAAGAAAGGCUUACAAGAGUUUCUCAACAUGGUGCAAGUAAAUCCGGCCAGGCGUGAUCUUCAUAGGACGGUUCAAAUGAGGCAGUUAGACGUAGAUCCUCAUAAGGCAGGUAGUAUUGUCGGUAAUCGAAUCGUCUUUGUAAUCUUUCUCAUAAUUGUAAUAUCUAAAUAAAUCUCCGACAAAAAAUAAAAUAAAAGGAUUGUUUUGCAUUUAGUCAAAAAAAGUUAUUUUGUUGCUUUUCUUUGUGUUAACGGUUUGCAAGUAGUCAAAGUUCUAAUUUGGGCAAUAAAUUAUUUUGACCAGAUUCACUAGAAAGUUUAAUAUAUUCAAUUUACCAAAUGUCUAUAAAAUGAAAUAUUCAAAUAUACAAACAAAUCAUUUUUGACCCAAUAUUAUUUUAGUGAAUAUGGAAGAUCAAAUAAUGGAAAAGGUAAAUAAAAGGAGUAAAGUUGACUUUUCCCAAGACUAAAAGCAAUAUAAAUAGAUCCUUUUCAGAUCAAAAGAAUCAAGAACAAUUGUUCGCUGUAUAAAAAAUAUUACUAUGGCUAUCACAAAAACUUGGGUGACUUUUUGUCUCGCAAUAAUUUUAGUGUAUUCGUUGUCAAAUCACAACGUUUUGACUUCAGGUGCAGAAAUGGAGAAGGUCCAACAUAAGUAUACGUUUUGCGCUAAAAGUCUGUGUACAGACUCGUACUCACCACGUAUGUGCUUCGUUGACUGUGUUUCUAAAGGGUUUCUAACCGGAGAUUGUAUUACUCCUCCCAAUUCUCCGUUACGAUGUUGUUGUGCCAAUGAAUGAUUUGAGCGUUGUAUUACAAUUUCCUGAGUAUAAGUUCAAUUCCUAAUGAACCCAACGAAAUAAAGCUAUUUCAUUAUAAUGAAUGUGUUUAACCAAUCAA